This 460-nucleotide ribosomal RNA is filed under the name uncultured bacterium. RNAcentral describes it as "partial 16S ribosomal RNA". It matches the Rfam family "Bacterial small subunit ribosomal RNA", at positions 338 to 795 of the family's 1533-position model. The record is from RNAcentral.
CCUACGGGAGGCUGCAGUGAGGAAUAUUGGUCAAUGGACGAGAGUCUGAACCAGCCAAGUAGCGUGAAGGAGGACUGCCCUAUGGGUUGUAAACUUCUUUUAUCUGGGAAUAAAAUGUUCCACGUGUGGGAUUUUGUAUGUACCAUAUGAAUAAGGAUCGGCUAACUCCGUGCCAGCAGCCGCGGUAAUACGGAGGAUCCGAGCGUUAUCCGGAUUUAUUGGGUUUAAAGGGAGCGUAGGGGGAUUGUUAAGUCAGUUGUGAAAGUUUGCGGCUCAACCGUAAGAUUGCAGUUGAAACUGGCAGUCUCGAGUACAGGAGAGGUGGGCGGAAUUCGUGGUGUAGCGGUGAAAUGCAUAGAUAUCACGCAGAACUCCGAUUGCGAAGGCAGCACACCGGACUGAAACUGACACUGAGGCUCGAAAGUGUGGGUAUCGAACAGGAUUAGAUACCCGUGUAGUC